GAGAUCCGAAAAGCGUAUUUCCUCCUCCGGUCACUACAAUGGCGCAGUUAGGAGGGAUACGAAUAAGUAUUGCGGAAGACAUACGCAUUGGUAAAAUGAGUGAAUCAAUCUGUGCGUCAUGGGUGAGUAGCUCUGGCAUUUUGGAUUGGAUAAUAUGUAUUGAUAUAGAUUAAAAAGAGCAGACUCACGCACAUUUCUUCAUGGGAACGAUGUAAGUAUUAAUAACUAGUACAGCACAUUCCUACGGGGAUCGAUGCAAACAUGAAUACACACACCUAUAAACAGGAUGCGCAUGCACGGACAGACGGAUUCACACACAUUCCUUUAAGGGAAUCGAUGUCGAUGAAAGUAAUCGUUUCGCACAUCCCUUUAUGGGAUCGAUGCAAGAAUAAAGAACUAGUGAAGCACAUCCCUACGGGGAUCGAUGCAAGAAUGAAUAACUAGUAAAGCACAUUCCUUCGGGGAUCGAUGCAACUAGGAAUAUACACUCAUGUAAGCAGGAUGCCGGGUGACGCACAUGGGAUCGAUGCUAAUAUGAAUAACUAGUAUAGCACAUUCCUACGGGGAUCGAUGCAAACAGGAAUAUAUACACCUAUAAGCAGGAUGCGCAUGCUCGGACAGACGGAUUCACACACAUUCCUUUAAGGGAAUCGAUGUCGAUGAAUAUAAUCGUAACGCACAUUCCUUUAUGGGAUCGAUGCAGGAAUAAAUAACUAGUGAAGCACAUUCCUACGGGGACCGAUGCAACCAAGAAUAUACACACGUAUAAGCGUAUAAGCCUUGUAACAUACAUUUGUGAGGUGAUUAUUUCAUAGUAGUGGCCCGGCAAACAAUGCGAGGGUUGGUGAGGUACCUCUCGCUCUAAUUUCUCUAGUCUAGUCUAGCUGCCUCGCUUCCUCCUAUAGCGAUUCUGUCGAGCUGAGCUUUCACGUCCCUCACCACCGAUCUCCUUCCUACCCCUCGCCUAAGAUCGUCUGACAUCUCGCCUGACACCUUUCGUUGUGUUGGUGCUCUGCGGCUGCUGUCACUGUAGAAGUCAGGUUGUGUGUGUAAAAAAAACGUAAACAGUGUUGUUGGCUGAUCAAGUGCGGUAAGUUUUUUAAUAAUUAAGUUCUUAAUUUUACGUAAGUAAGUGCCAUUUUAGCUAAAAUAAGCGGUAGAAGUCCUGCCCAAUGCGUGCUGGCUCCGUCGGAAGCGGUACGUGCAUGUACCGGCAUAGUAAAGUGGUGUGGUGGACAACACAGCACAAGACAGUGGACGUAAUGCAGAAAUGAUAUGGGCCUGCCGCAGGUGUUUGCGACUGUGCGCUGUGUAUGAUUGUGUAUGAUACGCCAAUUUUACUCUAUCCUGGAAUGUGGGCUUACGAUGAACCAUUAAAGAACAUCCUCCGGGAGCUGUACGGCGACGAAUCGGGCUCUACCAGCACAACACGCUAGAGACCCAGCCGGCACCGGGUGCCCCGAUUGCGCCGUCAGACGGUGUCGAGCGCGCUCGUUCACAACGUUCGGGGCAGGAAUUCAACCCUUCGGAUCUGCAUUAUCCGCUGCCCCACAAUAGCUGCAGCAGCAACAGGACCGAACCGACCGCACUACUGAUUGUGGUCAUAUUUCCUGGCAGGAGAAAAAACCCCACAAGUGUAUCGAUUUCAUCAUGGCACCACCAUGCCACUGAAUAACCCCGGAAAGGCGACAAACACUCUCAAACAUCUCCAGUGGCAAAUUGUUAACGUGAAUCCACUUCCGCACAUCUACACGACAUUACAUUAAUAGUGUUAUUGUGUUAAUUGGAAAAAAAACUUGAUGUUAACGAGUUAAGUUUAAUCUUAAGUGCGCUUUAAGGCAUAAAUUGAUAUGCCUAUUUUUAAGUAAAGUGUUUUGAAAUGCGCGUGUGUGUGAAGGGGCGGAAUAAGCGCUAAUUUUGCCCCGUGGUCUUGAGGGGCCCCAAAAAUGGAACCCAUCCCCCGCUCGCAGGUUAAAUUGCUACUCAAUCCUUCUCUAGUCUAGAACAUUUCCCUGCUAGACGCUUAAACCAAGCCUACAUUUGUGUGACUGCUUAGGGCC
Molecule: long non-coding RNA, 2060 nt
Organism: Anopheles arabiensis
Lineage: Eukaryota; Metazoa; Arthropoda; Insecta; Diptera; Culicidae
Exons: 4
Source: RefSeq, a predicted model, not a curated record